This 589-nucleotide ribosomal RNA is filed under the name Histoplasma capsulatum. RNAcentral's name for it is "LSU rRNA". It matches the Rfam family "Eukaryotic large subunit ribosomal RNA", at positions 28 to 632 of the family's 3401-position model. The record is from RNAcentral. Lineage: Eukaryota; Fungi; Ascomycota; Eurotiomycetes; Onygenales; Ajellomycetaceae.
CUGAACUUAAGCAUAUCAAUAAGCGGAGGAAAAGAAACCAACAGGGAUUGCCUCAGUAACGGCGAGUGAAGCGGCAAGAGCUCAAAUUUGAAAUCCGCCCCUGGGGGCCUGAGUUGUAAUUUGCAGAGGAUGCUUCGGGCGCGACCGCGGUCCAAGUCCCCUGGAACGGGGUGUCGUAGAGGGUGAGAAUCCCGUCUCGGCCGGCCGGUCUCGCCCGUGUGAAGCUCCUUCGACGAGUCGAGUUGUUUGGGAAUGCAGCUCCAAAUGGGUGGUAAAUUUCAUCUAAAGCUAAAUACUGGUCGGAGACCGAUAGCGCACAAGUAGAGUGAUCGAAAGAUGAAAAGCACUUUGAAAAGAGAGUUAAACAGCAUCGUGAAAUUGUUGAAAGGGAAGCGCUUGCGACCAGAGUCGGCCGUGGGGGUUCAGCGGGCAUUCGUUGCCCGUGCAAUCCCCCGCGGCCGGGCCAGCGUCGGUUUCGACGGCCGGUCAAAGGCCCCCGGAAUGUGUCGCCUCUCGGGGCGUCUUAUAGCCGGGGGUGCAAUGCGGCCAGUCGGGACCGAGGAACGCGCUCCGGCACGGACGCUGGCUU